CUUUGAGGAACUCGUCACUUGAAUUGAUAGAAGUCUGUCCUUUUGUCUCUUUGCUGCUGAUCUCUGUUCCCAAACAGCUGGGCAGCUCAACAGGCAAGAGGGCUCCCAGGAGCCGGAUUCCGGGCUCCCUGGGGUGGGGAGUGAGGGAAUGACUACGAGGAAUCAAAGGGCCCACCUGGUGAUGGCAAUUAGGAUUCUGAGAAUGAAGCACUGAAAUGUACUGUGUGAGAUUUGAUUUCAUCAGAGAAUACGGCACCUGGCACUGCCCCCCACCCCCAGGUGUCCAUCACCCAGAGUCAGAGGGUAAGUAAUAACCGGGUAAUCACAAACUCCUCUUGCAAAGGAUAAGGUUUGCAUAGUGCUUGUGGUCAUUUCGCCCAUGUUCUAAAUUGUGGGGCUGGGAGAAAAGGGAGGAGUUUUUCUUAAUUUCCAAAGGAAAAGAAAUUUUGAUCAUUCUAUUAAAAAGUUUAGGUGAAUUGGGAAGCAGAAACCCCAGGGCUAUGAUUGUCUGUACACUGGCUAGUGAGGUCAACAAGUUUGUCUUUGCAUCUGCAAACAGCUUUGCUCAAGCCAUUCUAGAGGGAGGUAAGGAGCUUGAGAGCAUGGAAAGAGCAGCAGAUGGUGAGUAAAUAAGCCAGGGUUCUGGAUCCUAGUAUCAUCAGUUAGCUGAGGGACUGGAUGCAUUCCUUCAUGUCUCUGGGCAGGAAUUUUUCAACUACAAAAUGAGAGAGCUGGACCAGACAGUCUCCAGGGCCAAUCCUAGCUCUAAAAUUCUGUAAGGCUUCCAUCUUUCCCAUCUUAAACUUCUCUAGGCAAUCCAAUCUCAUAUCUUUUAAAAUUAAUCUUUCCUUAAAAUGGGCUCAGGACAUAUAAUGUGUUGUAUAUUUUCUUCACGUUUCCCUCACUGAGAACUUCAGCAUAUCCCUUACCGCCAUCCUUUUCCAUGAGUAUUUUGCUACACAGGCAGUUUCCUCUGGUGAGAAAGUCGGUGACCUCAGAAUGUGUUCUCAUUGACUUUGUGUGCUUCCUUUAAUGGGCUGAGAGAGUCCUCUGAAUUUCCUGCUUAGGUCCAGUAGAUUGCUAAACAGCAAUUCAUUCAUUCAAUCAUUCAUUCAACAAAUAUGCAUUGAGCGUCUACUGAGUUCCAGGUACUCUGCCAGGUGCAGUCAUGCUUCCCAAGGACUAUUUGAGAAUCUACCUUUCUCUUGCCUAAAUACAAGUCUCUCUGCUCACCUCAAUGAUCUCCACAGGUGGAAGAUCCUCAGAUUCUCAGAAUUUCUCUAGAAGCAAGAGUUGCAAGUGGGAGGAUAGCCUGUCUCCCCAUAGAACCUUCCCCACAGGGCUUGCACCUUAGUUAAGCAAGAUGUAACAUCAGAAGGCACCAUGCUCUGAAGAUGGAGACGAUGUCAGAAUCAAGUCACAGAAGCACAGAAACUAAUAGCUGUGGAAUAUUCUGAUGCUGGCCAUUGAAGUCUGACUGAAGACUUUCUGCAGGAAGCGGGGAGCAGCAUUCCAAUUUUUGAGAGCCUCUGCUUGCCGUCAGCUGUGAGUGCCCAUACAAUGAACCAAGCAUCCUCCAAGUGGACCCCUGCUUUGAAACUUAGAGAUGUAUAUUGCAAAGCAACAGUGAAAGAGCCAGGGAUAAAAAAAAAAUCAGCAGUUAUGAAACAGAAAGGGAGAAAAAGUUUGUAAAGCUCUAUUAAAGUCAUCAAAUGUCUCUUGCUUAAGGUUGAAAAACUUACAGCAUGCCAGAAUACUGCAAUAUUACAAAUGAGUGCCAAUAGUCAUCCAUUUUCUCCUUUUGUCAUGUUUAUGCCUGGGGAUUUAAUAUUUGAUCAUUUUUCUUUUAGUGGUCUUAAAUAAAUGGACAAGCUGUUGAGAACCGUAGCACCUACAGAUGUGAAAUUUACAAAAAGAGAGAGUGAGAUAAAGUUUAGAGUCUGGAGCUUUGUUUUCCAUUUUCCAUGCAUACUACAUCAUUGAAGUCAAUUUGGCAGAAAAGGCAUUGAUUUGUAGCUGAGGACAAGGAAAUCUGUCAGGAAAGUGAAUGCAGCCCUUGAAUCCAUCUUGGAAGAAGAAAGGCACAAAGGAGGAGAGGUUCCAAAGGGAAGCCCCUGUCCAGGGUGUGUAUUUGUAAAUCAGGAAGUGUUGGGGCCAGAUUUAUCCAGCACACACUUAACUGAGCUGAUAGAGAUAUCUUCUUUAAAGAUAAUCGUGUGU
Long non-coding RNA from Diceros bicornis minor, 2220 nucleotides. RefSeq lists it as uncharacterized. The record is from RefSeq and is a predicted model, not a curated record. NCBI's taxonomy places the organism in Eukaryota, Metazoa, Chordata, Mammalia, Perissodactyla, Rhinocerotidae. The transcript has 4 exons.